This 2231-nucleotide ribosomal RNA is filed under the name Escherichia coli HVH 150 (4-3258106). RNAcentral describes it as "bacterial LSU rRNA". It matches the Rfam family "Bacterial large subunit ribosomal RNA", at positions 717 to 2925 of the family's 2925-position model. Lineage: Bacteria; Pseudomonadati; Pseudomonadota; Gammaproteobacteria; Enterobacterales; Enterobacteriaceae. The record is from RNAcentral.
GAAACCCGGUGAUCUAGCCAUGGGCAGGUUGAAGGUUGGGUAACACUAACUGGAGGACCGAACCGACUAAUGUUGAAAAAUUAGCGGAUGACUUGUGGCUGGGGGUGAAAGGCCAAUCAAACCGGGAGAUAGCUGGUUCUCCCCGAAAGCUAUUUAGGUAGCGCCUCGUGAAUUCAUCUCCGGGGGUAGAGCACUGUUUCGGCAAGGGGGUCAUCCCGACUUACCAACCCGAUGCAAACUGCGAAUACCGGAGAAUGUUAUCACGGGAGACACACGGCGGGUGCUAACGUCCGUCGUGAAGAGGGAAACAACCCAGACCGCCAGCUAAGGUCCCAAAGUCAUGGUUAAGUGGGAAACGAUGUGGGAAGGCCCAGACAGCCAGGAUGUUGGCUUAGAAGCAGCCAUCAUUUAAAGAAAGCGUAAUAGCUCACUGGUCGAGUCGGCCUGCGCGGAAGAUGUAACGGGGCUAAACCAUGCACCGAAGCUGCGGCAGCGACGCUUAUGCGUUGUUGGGUAGGGGAGCGUUCUGUAAGCCUGUGAAGGUGGGCUGUGAGGGAUGCUGGAGGUAUCAGAAGUGCGAAUGCUGACAUAAGUAACGAUAAAGCGGGUGAAAAGCCCGCUCGCCGGAAGACCAAGGGUUCCUGUCCAACGUUAAUCGGGGCAGGGUGAGUCGACCCCUAAGGCGAGGCCGAAAGGCGUAGUCGAUGGGAAACAGGUUAAUAUUCCUGUACUUGGUGUUACUGCGAAGGGGGGACGGAGAAGGCUAUGUUGGCCGGGCGACGGUUGUCCCGGUUUAAGCGUGUAGGCUGGUUUUCCAGGCAAAUCCGGAAAAUCAAGGCUGAGGCGUGAUGACGAGGCACUACGGUGCUGAAGCAACAAAUGCCCUGCUUCCAGGAAAAGCCUCUAAGCAUCAGGUAACAUCAAAUCGUACCCCAAACCGACACAGGUGGUCAGGUAGAGAAUACCAAGGCGCUUGAGAGAACUCGGGUGAAGGAACUAGGCAAAAUGGUGCCGUAACUUCGGGAGAAGGCACGCUGAUAUGUAGGUGAAGUCCCUCGCGGAUGGAGCUGAAAUCAGUCGAAGAUACCAGCUGGCUGCAACUGUUUAUUAAAAACACAGCACUGUGCAAACACGAAAGUGGACGUAUACGGUGUGACGCCUGCCCGGUGCCGGAAGGUUAAUUGAUGGGGUCAGCGCAAGCGAAGCUCUUGAUCGAAGCCCCGGUAAACGGCGGCCGUAACUAUAACGGUCCUAAGGUAGCGAAAUUCCUUGUCGGGUAAGUUCCGACCUGCACGAAUGGCGUAAUGAUGGCCAGGCUGUCUCCACCCGAGACUCAGUGAAAUUGAACUCGCUGUGAAGAUGCAGUGUACCCGCGGCAAGACGGAAAGACCCCGUGAACCUUUACUAUAGCUUGACACUGAACAUUGAGCCUUGAUGUGUAGGAUAGGUGGGAGGCUUAGAAGUGUGGACGCCAGUCUGCAUGGAGCCGACCUUGAAAUACCACCCUUUAAUGUUUGAUGUUCUAACGUUGACCCGUAAUCCGGGUUGCGGACAGUGUCUGGUGGGUAGUUUGACUGGGGCGGUCUCCUCCUAAAGAGUAACGGAGGAGCACGAAGGUUGGCUAAUCCUGGUCGGACAUCAGGAGGUUAGUGCAAUGGCAUAAGCCAGCUUGACUGCGAGCGUGACGGCGCGAGCAGGUGCGAAAGCAGGUCAUAGUGAUCCGGUGGUUCUGAAUGGAAGGGCCAUCGCUCAACGGAUAAAAGGUACUCCGGGGAUAACAGGCUGAUACCGCCCAAGAGUUCAUAUCGACGGCGGUGUUUGGCACCUCGAUGUCGGCUCAUCACAUCCUGGGGCUGAAGUAGGUCCCAAGGGUAUGGCUGUUCGCCAUUUAAAGUGGUACGCGAGCUGGGUUUAGAACGUCGUGAGACAGUUCGGUCCCUAUCUGCCGUGGGCGCUGGAGAACUGAGGGGGGCUGCUCCUAGUACGAGAGGACCGGAGUGGACGCAUCACUGGUGUUCGGGUUGUCAUGCCAAUGGCACUGCCCGGUAGCUAAAUGCGGAAGAGAUAAGUGCUGAAAGCAUCUAAGCACGAAACUUGCCCCGAGAUGAGUUCUCCCUGACCCUUUAAGGGUCCUGAAGGAACGUUGAAGACGACGACGUUGAUAGGCCGGGUGUGUAAGCGCAGCGAUGCGUUGAGCUAACCGGUACUAAUGAACCGUGAGGCUUAACCUU